Molecule: long non-coding RNA, 621 nt
Organism: Herpailurus yagouaroundi (jaguarundi)
Lineage: Eukaryota; Metazoa; Chordata; Mammalia; Carnivora; Felidae
Exons: 4
Source: RefSeq, a predicted model, not a curated record
GACCUGAGCCAAAAUCAAGGUUUGGACGCUUAACCAACUGAGCCACCCAGGUGCCCCUUGUGAACUAUGUCUUAAAACUAUUUGACCAUAGCCAACUAGUAAUAGAAGUACCUACUAAUGUUUAUAAUAUACACUCAAUAUAUUUGUCUAACAAAAUUUAAUUCUUUUUCUUCCAGGUAAUUUAUCCUCAACAUUCCAAACUUACUGAUAAGGAAAAAACCAAUAUUUGCUAUUUGUCUUUUCCAGAUUCAAAUUCAGGUUGUCUUGGAGAUACCCAGUUUUGUUUUAGAUUUCGACAAUCUUCUGGGAGGAGGGUGUCACUGCAUUGUCUCCUGGAUCAUUAUGACAAAGAUUUACCAGUUUACUUAAAGAAGGAUCCUGCUUAUUUUUACGGAUAUGUGUAUUUCCGACAAGUUCGAGAUAAAAGUCUAAAAAGAGGCUACUUCCAGAAGGUAAAUUUCAUAUGCACUAAUAGGGAAAUUGUUUUUAUAUUGUGGCUAGAAAAAUAGAAACUGUAAGGAUGAAUAGUCUUUAAAGUCUUUGAUAUUUUAUCUUUAAACAUACUAGAACUUACAUUUUUUGUUGUUGUUGUUUUUUUAGAUUAUAGAUACCUGUCCCUAG